Molecule: transfer RNA, 76 nt
Filed under: Alosa alosa (allis shad)
Lineage: Eukaryota; Metazoa; Chordata; Actinopteri; Clupeiformes; Clupeidae
Description: tRNA-OTHER
Source: RNAcentral
GUACUGUUAGAGACUAACUGGUUAGGGUUUCGGGCUUGUAACCGGAGGGUUGCCGGUUCGAUCCCCGACCAGUAAG